RNAcentral lists this small RNA (100 nucleotides) under Pan troglodytes (chimpanzee). RNAcentral describes it as "processed transcript". The record is from RNAcentral. Lineage: Eukaryota; Metazoa; Chordata; Mammalia; Primates; Hominidae.
AAUUCGUCAAUGCCUUGGAAUGUCAUAAAGAUCCUGAAGCUGGGAGAUGAGUUUACAUUUUUCAUCUGGCUUUCUUUUGCUGCAACCACGCCUGUUCUAG